UGAAAUUUUUGUUUCUUAUUAAUAGGACUGGAUCCCUCCCAAUUCAGAGUCCAUCACCAUUACCAUAAAGAUGAGGAGAAUGAUGCCUUGGUUGGUGGCCCAGCUCAGCUCACUGAUGAGGAGAAAUAUAGGGACUGUGAAAGAUUCAAGUUUUGCUGCCUCAAAUGUGGAACAGAGAAUAUUUAUGACAAUGUCUUUGACUGUUCGGGGCGAUUUAUUGAGCCCAGCUUGCAAAGGUGCAGUAAGAGUGAAUGUGAAGAGCCUCCUUUCAACCACGUGGUUCAAAUGAACAACAAAUUACUCUUGGAUAUUAGACGCCACCUAAAAAGAUACUACAGUAAUUUUCUGCAGGAGAUGUAAGUUCCUGGGUAGUACCUGACUGUUUCAGCUAAAACAGGAGUAUUUUCAGCUGUGUGAGAUGGGCAGGUCUUCUCUAGAUACAGCUUCUGAAUGGUACUUAGUGCUGUGAUACUACAAAGAAAAUAUGACUGCAUAAUUUAAUCACUUGGACUAGGCCAGGGAUAAUUUUUCUUACUCAUUGGAUUU
Non-coding RNA from Meleagris gallopavo (turkey), 546 nucleotides. The record is from RefSeq and is a predicted model, not a curated record. NCBI's taxonomy places the organism in Eukaryota, Metazoa, Chordata, Aves, Galliformes, Phasianidae.